Molecule: long non-coding RNA, 308 nt
Organism: Lactuca sativa (garden lettuce)
Lineage: Eukaryota; Viridiplantae; Streptophyta; Magnoliopsida; Asterales; Asteraceae
Source: RefSeq, a predicted model, not a curated record
UGCGGAGGAGGUUACCAUACUCUUACGGAAGGAAUGCAUAGAUUCGCCAGACAAAUUCAAUCGAAAUGCCCUUACAUCAAACUCUAACACAGUGGUACUAGCUUUCACCAAUCUCAAAUCCACUAUGUACAAUGGACAAUUAACAUUGACAAGCACCAGCGCAACACACAUGUACGUCAAUCCCAAUUUACCAGAAACGGACACACUCAUUACAAGAUUUGGUACCCAAUUUCACUCAAAAUCAUCACCAAAUGUGAUAAAUACUACAUUACAACGCUUAAAGAGCUCAGAUUUCUCUCAAAUAAUGG